RNAcentral lists this ribosomal RNA (504 nucleotides) under uncultured bacterium. RNAcentral's name for it is "partial 16S ribosomal RNA". It matches the Rfam family "Bacterial small subunit ribosomal RNA", at positions 29 to 523 of the family's 1533-position model. The record is from RNAcentral.
AUUGAACGCUGGCGGCAGGCCUAACACAUGCAAGUCGAACGGUAGCACAGAGAGCUUGCUCUCGGGUGACGAGUGGCGGACGGGUGAGCAAUGUCUGGGAAACUGCCCGAUGGAGGGGGAUAACUACUGGAAACGGUAGCUAAUACCGCAUAACGUCGCAAGACCAAAGGGGGGGACCUUCGGGCCUCACACCAUCGGAUGUGCCCAGAUGGGAUUAGCUAGUAGGUGGGGUAAUGGCUCACCUAGGCGACGAACCCUAGCUGGUCUGAGAGGAUGACCAGCCACACUGGAACUGAGAAACGGUCCAGACUCCUACGGGAGGCAGCAGUGGGGAAUAUUGCACAAUGGGCGCAAGCCUGAUGCAGCCAUGCCGCGUGUAUGAAGAAGGCCUUCGGGUUGUAAAGUACUUUCAGCGGGGAGGAAGGCGGUGAAGUUAAUAACUUCACCGAUUGACGUUACCCGCAGAAGAAGCACCGGCUAACUCCGUGCCAGCCGCCGCAGUAA